GAUGAACGCUAGCUACAGGCUUAACACAUGCAAGUCGAGGGGCAGCAUGGUCUUAGCUUGCUAAGGCCGAUGGCGACCGGCGCACGGGUGAGUAACACGUAUCCAACCUGCCGUCUACUCUUGGACAGCCUUCUGAAAGGAAGAUUAAUACAAGAUGGCAUCAUGAGUUCACAUGUUCACACUGAUUAAAGGUAUUCCGGUAGACGAUGGGGAUGCGUUCCAUUAGAUAGUAGGCGGGGUAACGGCCCACCUAGUCUUCGAUGGAUAGGGGUUCUGAGAGGAAGGUCCCCCACAUUGGAACUGAGACACGGUCCAAACUCCUACGGGAGGCAGCAGUGAGGAAUAUUGGUCAAUGGGCGCAGGCCUGAACCAGCCAAGUAGCGUGAAGGAUGACUGCCCUAUGGGUUGUAAACUUAUUUAAUAAAGGAAUAAAGUCGGGUAUGUAUACCCGUUUGCAUGUACUAUAUGAAUA
Molecule: ribosomal RNA, 472 nt
Filed under: uncultured Bacteroides sp.
Lineage: Bacteria; Pseudomonadati; Bacteroidota; Bacteroidia; Bacteroidales; Bacteroidaceae
Description: bacterial SSU rRNA
Rfam family: Bacterial small subunit ribosomal RNA
Source: RNAcentral